AUUUUUUAUUACAAACAUUUUUUUCCUUCCAGUUUUAUUGAGAUGUAAUUGACAUACAGCACUUGUAUACGUUUAAGGUGUACAGCAUAAUGACAUGACUUACCUACAUCGUGAAAUGACGACCACAUGACCACAAAAGAAACAGAUUGACUCAGAGCAGUUUCCUCGAGGACUUUCUUCUUGACCACUGACAUACCUAUCUGCGUGUCUCUGAGCUGUCUCCGCAGGGAGCUCCAGCAGCUCAACGAAAUUGAAAGGAUUAUAAAGUGCCGUAUCAGAGGAGAAGCAAGGAAUCCAGGGAGCAUCGAUUAGCACAGUUAGCCCCAACAUGCCAAUGAAGAGGGAUCGGGUGCUUUUCGGACUGUGCCAGCGUCUGCAGCCUCUGGUUCCCAUUAGAGGUUUGUUAGACACAUUGAACUUGGCUCAGCCCUUCUGCUCAGUUGGAAGCAAAUUGUAACAGAGGGAUACACACUGUGAGACGUAUGACCUUCUACAGCAAGAUGGUAAAGUGGGAUCUUAGUUCCCUGACCAGGAAUCGAACCUGUGCCCCCUGCAGUGGAAGUGCAGAGUCUUAACCAUUGGACCACCACGGAAGUCCCAAGAUGUGAUUCUUAUAUCACACAAAUGUUGAUUUUGUUUGCAAUGGAGAAUUUACAAGAAGCUUCAAAUCUCUUUCUUACCUAAGUCUUGAGAUAGAGAAACUGAGGCUCAAAUUAAGUUACCUCCCCGAGACAGCACACUCCGUAUUACUCAGACCACAGCAGUCUGCUUUCAUGACACCGAAGCUGAGGCCGUGAUAGAUUUCUCUCUGUGUGUAGAAGGGUUGGAAGCAUAGAAGCAUCUGCCAAUGAAGACAUAGACCACAGAAACUGGAUAACGUAUGACACAGGAGCCAAGGAGGAGAGCAGCCAGGAGUGGACCAAAAGGCAAAGUUCACUUAUUUAUUCACUCAUUCCACAAAUAAAUUCUUGAGAAUCUACUAUAUGCCAGGCACUGUUCUGAGCCAUGAAGAUGCAGCUGUGACCAACAUGGAUAAGAUUUCCUGCCUUCUUGGAGCUUACGUUCUAGUGAUGGGUUGAGAUGAUCUCAUCCUAGUGUUUUUAUUUCGUUUUUAAUGCUUAGUCAAGAACACAGCACUAAUUCUAUUAUCAAACCAACACCAUGGCUGAUCCAUAUGUGUAGACCAGGAUUUCCUUGGAAGCACAGGGAAUAUAGCUGAAGAUGACAAAGAAAUCAGAAAAGAUUGAAAAGAACGUGGAAACAGAAUUUUAAAAGGUGUGGAUUAAAACUUUAUAUAAAAAUUAAAGUUCAACUUGAAUUAACAAACAAUAAUGGGAGAUUCAUAGGUGUAGCAGCGCUGGACUUUGUCUGCCCCCGGUGGAGCAGCUUAUCUGACUGGCAGGCAGAGUUAUGUACAAGGACCUACAUUGUAUAGGAGGUUUGGAGGAAGAGUGGACGUCAGAUGCAUCCCAGGAGUUUAACUUAAAACCUGCCUUGGGGGAAAGGCUGGAAGAGUAAAACAGAACCCACAGCAGAUGGAAAGCAGGAGAUUUUAAAGAUGCACAGAACAGCAACAGCAGGAAAUGAGAGAUCCUUCCUGAUCAUAAGAGUUUUUUGAAGUUCACCAACCCUCCCAUCAAGACUUUUGAAAGACAAAACAAGUUCCUUUGCCAAAGAUGUAUUUUAUGGAAAGAAGAUAAGAAUCUUGAGAAUCAGCAGCAGGACCUUAUUAAAGCAAGGACUAAAGUUUAUUUUAAAACCUUAAACUGGAAAAAGAGCAGGAGUGCGCAGGAAGAGUCACUUCCACUGAGAUGCGGUAUCCUAGGAGAGGAGACUUGGAUGCAUUGAUAUU
Balaenoptera ricei (Rice's whale) is the source of this 1852-nucleotide long non-coding RNA. RefSeq lists it as uncharacterized. NCBI's taxonomy places the organism in Eukaryota, Metazoa, Chordata, Mammalia, Artiodactyla, Balaenopteridae. The record is from RefSeq and is a predicted model, not a curated record. The transcript is spliced from 13 exons.